RNAcentral lists this transfer RNA (64 nucleotides) under Galeruca luctuosa. Its description in RNAcentral is "tRNA-Pro". The record is from RNAcentral. Lineage: Eukaryota; Metazoa; Arthropoda; Insecta; Coleoptera; Chrysomelidae.
CAGAUAUUAGUUUUAUUAAAAAUAUUAAUUUUGGAGAUUAAAGAAAAAUUUUAUUUAUAUCUGA